AGAGUUUGAUCAUGGCUCAGGAUGAACGCUGGCGGCGUGCCUAACACAUGCAAGUCGAACGGAGAUAGCAAUAUCUCAGUGGCGCACGGGUGAGGAACACGUAGCUGACCUGCCCUGGAGCGGGAAAUAACGUGCCGAAAGGAACGCUAAUGUCCCGUACGCUCCACCGAACUAGAGGCGGUGGAGGAAAGGCGCAAGCCGCUCCGGGAGGGGGCUGCGGCCCAUCAGGUAGUUGGGGGGGUAAUGGCCCACCAAGCCGACGACGGGUCGGGGGUCUGAGAGGAUGACCCCCCACACUGGGACUGAGACACGGCCCAGACUCCUACGGGAGGCAGCAGUGAGGGAUCUUGCACAAGGGGCGCAAGCCUGAUCCAGCAAUGCCGCGUGGAUGAAGAAGGUCUUCGGGUUGUAAACCUCUUUCAGCAGGGAAGAAGCGAAAGUGACGGUACCUGCAGAAGAGGCACCGGCUAGCUACGUGCCAGCCGCCGCGGUAAUUC
RNAcentral lists this ribosomal RNA (497 nucleotides) under uncultured bacterium. RNAcentral describes it as "bacterial SSU rRNA". It matches the Rfam family "Bacterial small subunit ribosomal RNA", at positions 8 to 526 of the family's 1533-position model. The record is from RNAcentral.